This 293-nucleotide ribosomal RNA is filed under the name Bunodosoma cavernatum. Its description in RNAcentral is "partial 12S ribosomal RNA". It matches the Rfam family "Bacterial small subunit ribosomal RNA", at positions 562 to 941 of the family's 1533-position model. The record is from RNAcentral. Lineage: Eukaryota; Metazoa; Cnidaria; Anthozoa; Actiniaria; Actiniidae.
AAAGGAUGUGUAGGCUAAGAAACGAUCCAAGUAGGUAAAUGGAAUUUUUCUGGAGCGGUAGAAUGUGAGGAUAGAAAAUAGAACCCCUAAGGUAAAAACUAUUUACUACAAGGUAGGCUGAAACAUGAGAGUGUGGGGAGCAAACAGGAUUAGAGACCCUGGUAGUCCACACUGUGAACUUUGAAGAUGAUGCUUAGCAGACCCGAAAGGUAAAAUCUUCCGCCUGAGUAGUACGAUCGCAAGAUUAAAAUUCAAAAACUUUGGCUGUUCACUAUUUCGAUUAGAGGAGCGUG